This 405-nucleotide unclassified non-coding RNA is filed under the name soil metagenome. Its description in RNAcentral is "partial contains 5.8S ribosomal RNA, internal transcribed spacer 2, and large subunit ribosomal RNA". The stretch from base 1 to 122 matches the Rfam family "5.8S ribosomal RNA", at positions 35 to 154 of the family's 154-position model. The record is from RNAcentral.
GAUGAAGAACGUAGCAAAAUGCGAUACUUGGUGUGAAUUGCAGAAUCCCGUGAACCAUCGAGUUUUUGAACGCAAGUUGCGCCCGAAGCCGUUUGGCCGAGGGCACGUCUGCCUGGGCGUCACGCAUCGCGUCGCCCCCCACAAAUUCUCCGUCAGGGGAUCUUGUGUUUCGGGGGCGGAUACUGGUCUCCCGUGCUCAUGGCGCGGUUGGCCGAAAUAGGAGUCCCUUCGAUGGACGCACGAACUAGUGGUGGUCGUAAAAACCCUCGUCUUUUGUUUCGUGCCGUUAGUCGCGAGGGAAGCUCUUCAAAAACCCCAACGCGUCGUCUCUUGACGGCGCUUCGACCGCGACCCCAGGUCAGGCGGGACUACCCGCUGAGUUUAAGCAUAUCAAUAAGCGGAGGA